AUUAAGUUGGGGACUCUAGCGAGACUGCCAGUGAUAAACUGGAGGAAGGUGGGGAUGACGUCAAAUCAUCAUGCCCCUUAUGACCUGGGCUACAAACGUGAUACAAUGGCUGGAACAAAGGGAUGCGAAGCAGUGAUGUGGAGCGAAACCCAUAAAAACAGUCUCAGUUCGGAUUGAAGUCUGCAACUCGACUUCAUGAAGUCGGAAUCGCUAGUAAUCGCGGAUCAGAACGCCGCGGUGAAUACGUUCUCGGGGUUU
Molecule: ribosomal RNA, 258 nt
Filed under: uncultured Acholeplasma sp.
Lineage: Bacteria; Bacillati; Mycoplasmatota; Mollicutes; Acholeplasmatales; Acholeplasmataceae
Description: partial 16S ribosomal RNA
Rfam family: Bacterial small subunit ribosomal RNA
Source: RNAcentral